CAGUCGCCGCGGUAAUACGUAGGUGGCAAGCGUUGUCCGGAAUUAUUGGGCGUAAAGCGCACGUAGGCGGCUAUUCAAGUCAGAGGUGAAAGCCCGGGGCUCAACCCCGGAAUUGCCUUUGAAACUAGAUAGCUUGAAUCACGGAGAGGUGGGUGGAAUUCCGAGUGUAGAGGUGAAAUUCGUAGAUAUUCGGAAGAACACCAGUGGCGAAGGCGGCCCACUGGACGUGUAUUGACGCUGAGGUGCGAAAGCGUGGGGAGCAAACAGGAUUAGAUACCCCAGUAGUCCCUGUCUCUUAUAC
RNAcentral lists this ribosomal RNA (301 nucleotides) under uncultured bacterium. Its description in RNAcentral is "partial 16S ribosomal RNA". It matches the Rfam family "Bacterial small subunit ribosomal RNA", at positions 509 to 807 of the family's 1533-position model. The record is from RNAcentral.